This 253-nucleotide ribosomal RNA is filed under the name uncultured bacterium. RNAcentral describes it as "partial 16S ribosomal RNA". It matches the Rfam family "Bacterial small subunit ribosomal RNA", at positions 524 to 776 of the family's 1533-position model. The record is from RNAcentral.
UACGGGGGGGGCAAGCGUUGUUCGGAAUUACUGGGCGUAAAGGGCGCGUAGGCGGCUUUUCAAGUCGGGCGUGAAAUCUCCGGGCUUAACCCGGAAGGGUCGUUCGAUACUGUUGAGCUAGAGCGUGGAAGAGGCAACUAGAAUUCCGUGUGUAGCGGUGAAAUGCGCAGAUAUCAGGAAGAACACCCGUGGCUAAGGCGGUUCUCUAGUACGGUACUGACGCUGAGACGCGAAAGCGUGGGGAGCGAACAGG